GAUGAACGCUGACAGAAUGCUUAACACAUGCAAGUCGAUUCGAUUUACCUUCGGGUAUUGAGGAUGGCGGACGGGUGAGUAACGCGUAAGGAACUUGCCUCUUGGUCUGGGACAACUGUUGGAAACGACAGCUAAUACCGGAUAUUAUGAGAUUCUCGCAUGGGAAACUUAUGAAAGCUAUAUGCGCCAAGAGAGAGCCUUGCGUUCCAUUAGCUAGUUGGUGGGGUAACGGCCCACCAAGGCGACGAUGGAUAGCCGGCCUGAGAGGGUGAACGGCCACAAGGGGACUGAGACACGGCCCUUACUCCUACGGGAGGCAGCAGUGGGGAAUAUUGGACAAUGGACCAAAAGUCUGAUCCAGCAAUUCUGUGUGCACGAUGAAGGUCUUCGGAUUGUAAAGUGCUUUCAGUUGGGAAGAAGCAAGUGACGGUACCAACAGAAGAAGCGACGGCUAAAUACGUGCCAGCAGCCGCGGUAAUACGUAUGUCGCAAGCGUUAUCCGGAUUUAUUGGGCGUAAAGCGCGUCUAGGCGGAAAAAUAANUCUGAUGUUAAAAUGCGGGGCUCAACUCCGUAUUGCGUUGGAAACUGNUUUUCUA
RNAcentral lists this ribosomal RNA (597 nucleotides) under uncultured prokaryote. RNAcentral's name for it is "bacterial SSU rRNA". It matches the Rfam family "Bacterial small subunit ribosomal RNA", at positions 28 to 643 of the family's 1533-position model. The record is from RNAcentral.